RNAcentral lists this long non-coding RNA (36640 nucleotides) under Triticum aestivum (bread wheat). RNAcentral's name for it is "long non-coding RNA (TAES_LNC017818)". Lineage: Eukaryota; Viridiplantae; Streptophyta; Magnoliopsida; Poales; Poaceae. The record is from RNAcentral.
GACGGCGAAUUGAAUUUCUUAUUUACAAUUAAUGAAAGAUGCAUACUUUGCUAUGGCAAGUUUAUCUCCCCUUUUCUUCAACCUCAACAAAGAUGUUGGCUUUUUGUCUAGAAGAAAUAUAAAGGUCUCAGUAAUAAAAAUUCUCCCAAAUAAUUGUGGUAUUCUCACUUGUUUCUACCAAGUAAUAACACCCGUGUACAAAUUCUAAUAAGAUAAUUGUGUGUUGCUAUGGAGUAGAAAAUGACUUGAAACUAUGGUAGUUAAACAAACAUUCUCUCAAGACCUCGAUGCCACACUGAGAUAACAUUUCUCUCUACCAGAUGCCUCCCCUCCUCUCAACCUAGCGCAUGACUUUGACUUCCCAACAAACUUGCAUUUGGAAAUGGUGGUGAAGUUGUGACUCCGAGUUACUCAUCUCUGGCCAUGCUAUAUAAUUUGAUCCUUCCUUCAGUGAUUUUUUUCUCAUGAAAAGAAAAGAGAAAUGUCAUGAACAUAGAAUUUCAUUACUUUCUAGUAACUUCAAAUAGACAUAAUUAUCUCCAUGACCAUUUACACUAAGAAUUUUCAGGAGCAGCAAAGGUACACCAUAGCACAAAACUAUUUACAUACAAAUAAUUUCAAGGAGACAUGAUUAUCUACACGAGCGUUUACCCCAAAUGGUAUUGAAGAUUGAUCAAGAUACAUCAUAGCAUAGAUUUGUUUUAGUGCGAUGAUAACAUAUUCACCGUCAUGCCAAAUUUAUCCAUUCAUGUACCAUUGAAAUUUUGGCAGUUCAUACUGUACUUACCAAGAGCAGGUUGACACAAGAAGACAUCCACGGUGCGGAAAACAUCCUGCGGUUUACCUAGCUGACCGUGCCAUUUUUAUUCAUGGCAAAUCUUCAGUAACCUAUUAAAUCAUAUUUACCUAGCUGACUCUUGUAUGCGCAAUUUAUUUUUUUGGCAAAUCAUAUUUAUUAGAAGCUUAUUAAUAAUAUACAUCAGUAAACUAUUCACUAUUUAGCUGACUAAAGGAUAACCUCAGUCCUGUAUACAACAAUCUCAUUCUACACAUCUGUAUGUAUAGUUCAAGUGUUCACAAUAACACUGAAUUUAUAUAUUGCAAAAAAUUCAGCGGUGAUAUGCACAUCUUAGAGAAAAUUUUAAAAUAAUGUCAAGAUAAAUUCUUGACCCAAGUACAUGGGAGUACAGAACUCAGAACAUGUAAGAUUGUAACUUAUCCCAGUCCCAAGUAAGAGGGUCAGGAUACCACAUAUCCGACAAUGCUUUCCUCCAAUGUCUUGAGCUUCCUUGCACAUAGCUCAGACCUGCACAACAAAUAUUUAUAAGAUGGUGAUAAUGCAACCUGGCUACCUGAGACUCAAGUAAUUUUUUGUAUGCACCGAGGAUAAUAAACAAUGAAAAACAUUACACUAAUUGGUUAGGACCAGAAAAGGAAGUCAAGGCCAAGUACACUAUCAUCUCGCAAGUAUUGGCAACAUCUUGCUUGCUCCUGGUCAUUUCACCAAAGGAUAGAAAAAUACUCCCUCCAUCCCAAAAUAAGUGACUCAACUUUGUACUAACUUUGUACUAAAGCUAGUACAAAGUUGAGUCACUUAUUUUGAGACGGAGGGAUUAGUAAUCAAUUUGCAGACUAAUAAUUCUCACACAACAGUAAAGUAAGAUUGGUUCUUUCCAUCUCCAGCUCAGCGACAAGCACUGUAACAAUAAGCAUAUUUAUGCAACGAUAAAAAUCAGCAAGCAAUUGUCGUCUUGCCGCCCUUCUCGUCAGGGUGGGUGAGGGGGCUUGUAAUGUGUCCCAUGGCACGAGCAUCAAGCAUGGCCCCGAGCCAUCAUGUAGACAACCAGCGAAGUUCCCCAUCACUUGGCACCAUAUGAUUUCUAUUACCAUGUGGACAAAUAUUUACCUGAUAAGCACUUAAAGAAAGAAAAAUAGUCUGUCAUUCCUAUGAGCUGAUAAGUAGAUCAUCAUAUCCUUCUUUUCGCACAUGCACACCCUCUUAUUGUAGAGAUGGUGUGGGUAACAAAGAAGUUUUGCCUAUCGGUGCUGUGCAUUGCGAGAAACCUCCAGCAACAGUGAUUCUUGAUGAGAAUCCUUCCCUGGAGUGGCCAUCGAGGAUGAUAAUUCAUAUUGGGGGUAAUAUGAACAGGUUAAGUGAUACUGCUCCUCCUUUUGAGUGGGAUUGCCGAGUUAUGCCAGAAAUGAGUUUUUUUCUGAACUGAGAAGAAGCUUGUUUAGGUCUCCUCUUGAUUCUGCAUCUUCAUGAACAAAACAAAAUUACAAGAAAUCCCCAUGUUACAUGAAAUAAGCCAAAGAAAGAAACUGCAAAAAUCUAGAAAAAAAUAUGUGUAGUGGAGAACCAGAGGAAUCAACCAAGCCAGUUGACUUAUGAAGCUUUGAGAGACUUCAUGGGUGGACCUGGGUAAGCCCUUUGGGAGGGUGUUUGGUGGGGGUGGGCUUUGAUCGAUGGGACUAAUGAAACAAACGAAACAACCUAGGUACUCCCCUUUAUAUUAGAGGUUUUACACACAAAUCAAGCAAUUGAUGUUUCUGCAACUGAAUGUGCCACGACGCUCUCUCUUUCUCCAAGUCCAGUGCCUUUUCGAUUUUUGGAUCCCUUCUUCUCCAAGUCCUGCUCCCUUGUUCCUUGUACUCCUAGCUCAAGCAGUCCAAAAAAAUAUUACUCUAAAUAUAUAUAUAUAUAUAUAUAUAUAUAUAUAUAUUGCUUAUCAUGUAAGUCAAGUAUGUGAUAUCUCCAGAAACAUAAACUGGCUAGUUCAGUUUUUAGAAGUCAUUUAUCACCUGUAUUAUGUUCAAAUUACUUGUGUCCUAGUGUGCCAGUGAAAAAAAUAUGUUAUCGUUGAAGAAAGUGCAAAAAAUGACAUUCAGGCUUACAAACCUACAUUGAGCCAAUCCUCUGCUCAGUCAUCCAUUGCCGAUGAUGGCCAUGAUAGAAUAUGAAUACGUAAUUGUUAUUUGUAUUACACAUCAGUGCAUAGUUAUACAAGUUUAUUAUGCAGCAAACCAUAUGCGAAAAAAUCAGCAACGAGAAACCUAUCUACGAAACACCAUUGGAAUCACUAUCGAUUUCAUAUUCCAUUUUAAUGCCAUUGAUGCUACAUUUUUAUUAAUAUUUCAACAUAUUUAAAGGACCUUUGGUCCUUUAGGACUAACUGUUGCGAGAAUAGAAGAGUUUACAUGACUCGGGAUCAAUUCAGCACUUUCGAGCUUACAGCCUACAAUUACUUUCAGCGAAGCCAAAUAAUGGUUGAUGGAGCACAAUGUCACUUCAAAUUAUGGUCACAGCAGCAUACAAGUUUCUUAGGCCAAGAUUAGUACCACUCUUGAAAUAAAAACAAAUUGUUGGGAUCACAACAAAGUAAAUUAUGAAACAAAAAGAAUCAGUGUCUAGCUUUUAAUCAGUCGACUCCGAAAGCACCUGGUUGAGCUUCCAUAAUACCUGAACGAAUGACCUCUCAGUUCACAAGACAGAGAAACAAUACAUUGACUGGAAUAAAACAACACAAGCAUUAUUUCUUGACAGGACCAAUAUUCUCUACCUCACCUUCACUUUUUUCAAAUUCUUAAUUUAAUUACUUGGUCCAUGAAAAAAGACACAUCUUGGUAAGCCAUUGGAGCUUGGCAACUAAAAGAGGCAUUCAUCAGAACAGACUGUUUCAAACACAAAAUCAGCAUAUCUACAUUGUAGCUAUUUUAUCAUUCCAAGUAACAAAGUAGCUUCCUUGAUAAAUGCAUGAAAACUAAAAAAGGGACUGGUGAUAGUCAUCUUGGUUUAAAUUAAAUUAGAAAUAGCUGCAUGAAAGUAUCUUUUGGUUGGCUCAGACAGGGAAAAUAUUAAUAGUCCAAAAAAUUGUAAGAAAGAUGCAGUUACCUUUAACUGGUCCAACACAACUGACAUAAAGAAGGGCCAUCAUGAUGCAGGCUCGGUAAUCUACUGCCUCAAUCCGUUGUAAGGGUAACUUUAUUUGUAAGAGAUAGUACCAUUAUUAGUUUUAGUGGUCUUAUUAUUAAUUGGCUAGAUAUCUGAAAUGGCAAAUAUUGGCUUCGCUACUCAGCACUCACUCGUUUAUGCAAUUGUGGCUGAAUUUAAUCUGUCAGUGAUUCCAAUUCUUUUACAUAAUGGUUCAGAAAAGCAUCUCCAUUUGUGAUAAUUUGAAAGAAACUUGUUAAAUCUCCCAAAAAAGACCAAAGAACAAUGAAGAAAAAAUGGGCUACAGUCAUUAGAAAGUCACAACAAUAUUGUAAAGAUAGUUGAUCCAGCGGGGCAUCAAGCCUUACCUCUGUUUGGAGCUUGUCAAGCAGGUGGCUUUGUUCCAUGGCAUGGACGAGAUGAUCCUGUACAUCAUAUGCGCCCCUGAUAUUCUGCAGCAUGAGAAAGUGAUCAAGAGGGUGACCCGGUGCAGCGUAUGGUGUUCAUCUUGCAAGGGAAACCGGGGAGCAUGCAACCGCUGACCAAGAGCAUGGUGCCAACGUGCGUGCUGGGUGCCGAGAACUUACUCGGUAACGAGCUGCUGUUGUGGUGCCUGCAUCGGCCGUUCGUGGGACGACUUCGUCCAUGGGGUUCAGCGGCGGCGGCGGCCCCGGGGAUCCGCCACGGCAGCGGUGUGCGGAGUGCGGCGACCCCACACAAGCACGAGCUGCUUGGAGACCUGACCUGCCCUGAGGUUCCGUGAUGGCGCCGUCGUCGGUGGCGGCGGAGGCGGGGAACCCUAGACAAAAGAUUGAGGAAGGUCGGCGGCGGCGAUCCCGUACCUCAUCGGCGACGAGAUAUGACGUGACCCUUACGUCCGCGGCGGCAAUCCCGUACGUCUGCGCCAGCGAGAUCGCACGAGAUCCGGCAGCGUCUUCUCGAGAUCGCAAGAUGGCGGUGCGGUCUCCUCGAGGGGAUCGAUAAGACUUUUUUUUUUGCGGGGUGUUUUUUUUUUGACUCUGUGCGUGGGCUGGGGAGGGGGACGGGACGAAAAAACCUACGAAAAAAACCGGACGAAAAUGGUGGGACGAAAAAUAACCGGCGGAGACUACCAACUGAGCCAUUAAGAUUAGAGAUUAUGUAUUGUUGUAAAACAUUUAUUGAAUAUAAUUAGAACAAUUGAAUGGAAAACAUUUUUCCAUGCAUUGCUAAAUGUUGUGGUGGGUUUUUUUCCACAUAUGAUUGCAUGUUCAUAUGGACCUUAUAAUUGUAUGAUGAGGUGGAAUACUUGCAUGUCGAGAUAAAUACAUUAGUGGUCAUGACUCUCUUAGGUAUACAGGAUUCUGUUGUUUCUUUAGGGCAUCUCCAAGACAGGUAUCCAUUCCGAUCUUGUUCAGACUGUCAAGUCCGGACACUUUUUUACAAUUCAACGGGCUUCCCCAUUUGGGUUCGGACAAUUUGGAAUUCUACAAUCUCAAACCGAGGGGAAGAGCAACGGAGCGUACUGUCCGCCACGUUGAACCGACAGCUCAACCCUCUCUUUUUCUUGGGAUAUCCUUCUCGUGUGGGCUGGGAAGAGAAGGUCAUUUGAAGCCUUUUAGGCAUUCCAAAGGUGUGCAAGAGCCCACUACCUAUUAGGGUUAUGACCUAGAGUCAUUUUGAACUUUACUCAUGCGAGAAAAAGGGGAUGUUAGCCUCUGAUCCAGCAGCCACCAAGUAAAGCGAUGAAUCUGAGUCGAGCCUUCAUUGGAGAGAGAGAUGAAGGAAGAAGUUUGAUAUCGAGUAAAGGGAGCUCCUCCCCAAGGUUGUGAAGUUCAGAUCCAUCACCUUGUCCCCUUCCACCAUCUUUUGUGAGAUUGUUCCAAUCCCUAAUUCUUGCAACCCCAAAAUUUAUUGUUGCUAUCCAAGAUGCAUAAUCUUGAUGUACGAGAUCCUCUAGUGCUAUCUAAAGAAGAGCUUGUUGUAUCCCACAUUUGAUAAUAGUGGAAGAAGAUUAGGGUGGCUUCGACUCGUGGUUUUUCCCCUCAUGUUGAGGAGUUUUCUAUGUAAAAUAUUAUGUCUUUGUGUUGAUGCUUGUUGCUUUACUUUUGGCUUGAGAGCACAUAGGACUUUUCCUACCUGCUUGCUUGCUAAAAUCAAUUAGUACUUGUCCUAACUAGCUGAUGUUGGCAACCCAAGACUUGUCAUGUGUUCAUGCUAAACAUAGUAUCUUCAUAUAUGCUUGAUGCAUAUGUUUUCUUCCGUGCUAAACAGUGAUCCUUGAAUUAGUACAUGAUGUGGUGCUGAGAUUACUUUGUUUCCACUACACUUUUAGACCACAAGUGUGUGCUAAUUCCCAACUAUUUUUAACAGCUCCCCUCACUCUCAGUCUCCACUCCACUCCACACAAAGCCUACCCGCCCAAUGAUGGUAAAAAGAUGAACGCGAGGAGUGUGAGCAUUCCUUGGCAAUAUGGCUGCUCAGCAUCUUUCGGUCUGCUCGGCUGCCUGUUGGGAAACGUAGCAUGCAAUUUCAAAAAAAAAUCCUACGCUCAUGCAAGAUCUAUCUAGGAGAUGCAUAGCAAUGAGAGGGGGAGAGUGUGUCCACGUACCCUCGUAGACCGAAAGCGGAAGCAUUUGACAACGUGGUUGAUGUAGUCGAACUUCUUCUCGUUCCGACUGAUCAAGCACCGAAUGUACGGCACCUCCGAGUUCUGCACACGUUUAGCUCGAUGACGUCCCUCGAACGCUUGAUCUAGCAAAGUGUCGAUGGAGAGUUCCGUCAGCACGACGGCGUGGUGACGGUGAUGGUGAAGUGAUCCGCGCAGGGCUUCGCCUAAGCACUACGUGAAUAUGACCGGAGGCGUAAACUGUGGAGGGGGGGCGCCGCACGCGGCGAGGAAUCAAUGGUGUGUGUUCUAGUGGUGCCCCCCACAUAUAUAUAGGUGUGAGAGGGAGGGAAGCAGCAAGGGGCGCCCCAAGUAGGAGGGAUCCUACUUGGGCGCCUCCUCCAAGUCGGCCUACCCCCCUUCCAUAUGCAUCAGAGGGGGAAGGAAAGAGAGGGGGGAGGGGAAGGAAAGGGGGAGGCCGAAUCCUCCCCUUUCCUUCUCCCUUCCCUCCUUUCCUUCUCCUCCUAUUUCGGCCUAUAGGGGGGUGCACCAGCCCUUUAGGGGCUGGUCUGUCCCUCUCUUGGCCCAUUAGGCCCGUAUAGUUUGCCGAGGGUUGCCCAGAACCCCUUCUGGUGACCCGAUAUGUACCCGGUACCCCUGGAACACUUCCGGUGUCAGAAUACUAUCGUUCUGUAUAUGAAUCUUUACCUCUCGACCAUUUCGAGACUCCUCGUCAUGUCCGUCAUCUGAGACUCCGAACAACAUUCGGUCACCAAAUCACAUAACUCAUAUAAUACAAAAUCGUCAUCGAACGUUAAGCGUGCGGACCCUACGGGUUCGAGAACUAUGUAGACAUGACCGAGACACCUCUCCGGUCAAUAACCAAUAGCGGAACCUGGAUGCUCAUAUUGGUUCCCACAUAUUCUACGGAGAUCUUUAUCGGUCGUACCGUAAUGAUAACAACGUUAUUCCCUUUGUCAUCGGUAUGUUACUUGCCCGAGAUUCGAUCGUCGGUAUCUUCAUACCUAGUUCAAUCUUGUUACCGGCAAGUCUCUUUACUCAUUUCGUAAUGCAUCAUCCCGUAACUAACUCAUUAGUCACAUUGCCUGCAAGGCUUAUCAUGAUGUGCAUUACCGAGAGGGCCCAGAGAUACCUCUCCGAUACUCGGAGUGACAAAUCCUAAUCUUGAUCUAUGCCAACCCAACAAAUACCUUCGGAGAUACCUGUAGAGCAUCUUUAUAAUCACCCAGUUACGUUGUGACGUUUGAUAGCACACAAGGUAUUCCUCUGGUAUCCGGGAGUUGCAUAAUCUCAUAGUCGAAUGAAUAUGUAUUUGACAUGAAGAAAGCAAUAGCAAUAAAACUGACGAUCAACAUGCUAAGCUAACGGAUGGGUCAUGUCCAUCACAUCAUUCUCCUAAUGAUGUGAUCCCGUUCAUCGAAUGACAACACAUGUUUAUGGUUAGGAAACUUAACCAUCUUCGAUUAACGAGCUAGUCUAGUAGAGGCUUACUAGGGACACGGUGUAUUGUCUAUGUAUUCACACAUGUAUCAAGUUUCCGGUUAAUACAAUUCUAGCAUGAAUAAUAAACAUUUAUCAUGAUAUAAGGAAAUAUAAAUAACAACUUUAUUAUUGCCUCUAGGGCAUAUUUCCUUCAGUCUCCCACUUGCACUAGAGUCAAUAAUCUAGAUUACAUUAUCAUGAUUCUAACACCCAUGGAGUCUUGGUGUUGAUCAUGUUUUGCUCGUGGAAGAGGCUUAGUCAACGGGUUUGCCACAUUCAGAUCCGUAUGUAUUUUGAAAAUCUUGAUGUCUGCCUCCUUGACUUGAUCAUGGAUGGAGUUGAAGCGUCUCUUGAUGUGUUUGGUUCUUUUGUGAAAUCUGGAUUCCUUCGCCAAGGCAAUUGCUCCAGUAUUGUCACAAAAGAUUUUCAUUGGACCCGAUGCACUAGGUAUUACACCUAGAUCGGAUAUGAACUCCUUCAUCCAGACUCCUUCAUUCGUUGCUUCCGAAGCAGCUAUGUACUCCGCUUCACACGUAGAUCCCGCCAUGACGCUUUGCUUGGAACUACACCAACUGACAGCUCCACCAUUCAAUAUAAAUACGUAUCCGGUUUGUGACUUAGAGUCAUCCGGAUCAGUGUCAAAACUAGCAUCGACAUAACCAUUUACGACAAGCUCUUUGUCACCUCCAUAAACGAGAAACAUAUCCUUAGUGCUUUUCGGGUACUUCGGGAUAUUCUUGACCGCUGUCCAAUGAUCCACUCCUGGAUUACUUUGGUACCUCCCUGCUAGACUUAUAGCAAGGCACACAUCAGGUCUGGUACACAGCAUAGCAUACAUGAUAGAACCUAUGGCUGAGGCAUAGGGAAUGACUUUCAUUUUCUCUCUAUCUUCUGCAGUGGUCGGGCAUUGAGUCUGACUCAACUUCACACCUUGUAACACAAGCAAGAACCCUUUCUUUGACUGAUCCAUUUUGAACUUAUUCAAAACUUUAUCAAGGUAUGUGCUUUGUGAAAUUCCAAUUAAGCGUCUUGAUCUAUCUCUAUUGAUCUUGAUGCCUAAUAUAUAAGCAGCUUUACCGAGGUCUUUCAUUGAAAAACUCUUAUUCAAGUAUCCUUUUAUGCUAUCCAGAAAUUCUAUAUCAUUUCGAAUCAACAAUAUGUCAUCCACAUAUAAUAUUAGAAAUGCUACAGAGCUCCCACUCACUUUCUUGUAAAUACAGGCUUCUUCGAAAGUCUGUAUAAAACCAUAUGCUUUGAUCCCACUAUCAAAGCGUAUAUUCCAACUCCGAGAUGCUUGCACAAGUCCAUAAAUGGAUCGCUGGAGCUUGCACACUUUGUUAGCACCUUUAGGAUCGAUAAAACCUUCUGGUUGCACUCUUCUUUAAGAAAUCCAUUAUGGAAUGCAGUUUUGAUGUCCAUUUGCCAGAUUUCAUAAUCAUAAAAUGCGGCAAUUGCUAACAUGAUUCGGACAGACUUAAGCAUCGCUACGGGUGAGAAAGUCUCAUCGUAGUCAACUCCUUGAACUUGUCGAAAACCUUUUGCAACAAGUCGAGCUUUGUAGACAGUAACAUUACUAUCAGUGUCAGUCGUCUUCUUGAAGAUCCAUUUAUUCUCUAUGGCUCGCUGAUCAUCGGGCAAGUCAACCAAAGUCCAUACUUUGCUCUCAUACAUGGAUCCUAUCUCAGAUUUCAUGGCCUCAAGCCAUUUUGCGGAAUCUGGGCUCAUCAUUGCUUCCUCAUAGUUCGUAGGUUCGUCAGGGUCUAGUAACAUGACUCCCAGAACAUGAUUACCGUACCACUCUGGUGCGGAACGUGCUCUGGUUGACCUUCGAGGUUCGGUAGUAACUUGAUCCGAAAUUUCAUGAUCAUUAUCCUUAGCUUCCUCUCUAGUUGGUGUAGGCAUCACGGGAACGGUUUUCUGUUAUGAGCUACAUUCCAAUUCGAGAGAAGGUACAAUUACCUCAUCAAGUUCUACUUUCCUCCCACUCACUUCUUUCGAGAGAAACUCCUUCUUUAGAAAGGAUCCAUUCUUAGCAACAAAGAUCUUGCCUUCGGAUCUGUGAUGGAAGGUGUACCCAACAGUUUCUUUUGGGUAUCCUAUGAAGACGCACUUCUCCGAUUUGGGUUCGAGCUUAUCAGGCUGAAGUUUUUUCACAUAAGCAUCGCAACCCCAAACUUUAAGAAAUGAAAGCUUAGGUUUCUUGCCAAACCAUAGUUCAUAUGGUGUCGUCUCAACGGAUUUAGAUGGUGCCCUAUUUAAAGUGAAUGCAGCUGUCUCUAAUGCAUAACCCCAAAACGAUAGUGGUAAAUCGGUAAGAGACAUCAUAGAUCGCACCAUAUCUAAAAAAGUUAGGUUACGACGUUUGGACACUCCAUUACGCUGUGGUGUUUCAGGUGGCGUGAGUUGUGAAACUAUUCCACAUUGUUUUAAAUGAAGGCCAAACUCGUAACUCAAAUAUUUGCCUCCGCGAUUAGAUCGUAGAAACUUUAUUUUCUUGUUAUGAUGAUUCUCCACUUCACUUUGAAAUUCUUUGAACUUUUCAAAUGUUUCAGACUUGUGUUUCAUCAAGUAGAUAUACCCAUAUUUUCUCAAAUCAUCUGUGAAGGUCAGAAAAUAACGAUACCCGCCGCGAGCCUCAACACUCAUCGGACGGCAUACAUCGGUAUGUAUUAUUUCCAAUAAGUUAGUGGCUCGCUCCACUGUUCAGGAGAACGGAGUCUUAGUCAUCUUGCCCAUGAGGCAUGGUUCGCAAGCAUCAAAUGAUUCAUAAUCAAGUGAUUCCAAAAGUCCAUCUGAAUGGAGUUUCUUCAUGCGCUUUACACCAAUAUGACCUAAAUGGCAGUGCCACAAAUAUGUUGCACUAUCAUUAUCAACUUUGCAUCUUUUGGCAUCAAUAUUAUGAAUAUGUGUAUCACCACGACCGAGAUUCAACAAAAAUAGACCACUCUUCAAGGGUGCAUGACCAUAAAAGAUAUUACUCAUAUAAAUAGAACAACCAUUAUUCUCUUAUUUAAAUGAAUAACCAUCUGCAUCAAACAAGAACCAGAUAUAAUGUUCAUGCUCAACGCUGGCACCAAAUAACAAUUAUUGAGGUCUAAAAGUAAUCCUGAAGGUAGAUGUAGAGGUAGCGUGCCGACGACGGUCACAUCGACCUUGGAACCAUUCCCAAUGCGCAUCGUCACCUCGUCCUUAGCCAAUCUUCGUUUAAUUCGUAGCCCCUGUUUCGAGUUACAAAUAUGAGCAACCGAACCGGUAUCAAAUACCCAAGCACUACUACGAGCAUUAGUAAGGUACACAUAAAUAACAUGUAUAUCAAAUAUACCUUUGUUCUCUUUACCAUCCUUCUUAUCCGCCAAAUACUUGGGCAGUUCCACUUCCAGUGACCAAUCCCUUUGUAGUAGAAGCACUCAGUUUCAGGCUUAGGUCCAGACUUGGGCUUCUUCCCGGGAGUGGCAACUUCCUUGCCAUUCUUCUUGAAGUUCCCUUCUUUCCUUUGCCCUUUUUCUUGAAACUAGUGGUCUUGUUAACCAUCAACACUUUGAUGCUCCUUCUUGAUUUCUACCUCCGCAGCUUUGAGCAUAGCGAAGAGCUCGGGAAUUGUCUUAUCCAUCCCUUGCAUAUUAUAGUUCAUCACGAAGCCUCUGUAGCUUGGUGGCAGUGAUUGGAGAACUCUGUCAAUGACACUAUCAUCUGGAAGAUUAACUCCUAGCUGAGUCAAGUGGUUAUGAUACCCAGACAUUCUGAGUAUGUGUUCACUGACAGAACUGUUCUCCUCCAUCUUGCAGCUAUAGAACUUGUUGGAGACUACAUAUCUCUCAACUCGGGCAUUUGCUUGAAAUAUUAGCUUUAACUCUUGGAACAUCUCAUAUGGUCCAUGACGUUCAAAACGUCUUUGAAGUCCCGAUUCUAAGCCGUAAAGCAUGACACACUGAACUAUUGAGUAGUCAUCAACACGCGACUGCCAGGUGUUCACAACUUCUGCAGUUGCUGGAGGGGGUGGUACACCUAGCGGUGCAUCAAGGACAUAAUUCUUCUGUGCAACAAUGAGGAUAAUCCUCAAGUUACGGACCCAGUCCGUGUAGUUGCUACCAUCAUCUUUCAACUUAGCUUUCUCUAGGAACACAUUAAAAUUCAAGGGAACGGUAGCACGGGCCAUUGAUCUACAACAUAGAUAUGCAAAAACUAUCAGGACUAAGUUCAUGAUAAAUUAAGUUUGAUUAAUCGUAUUACUUAAGAACUCCCACUUAGAUAGACAUCCCUCAAGUCAUCUAAAUGAUCACGUGAUCCAUAUCAACUAAACCAUGUCCGAUCAUCACGUGAGAUGGAGUAGUUUUCAAUGGUGAACAUAUCUAUGUUGAUCAUAUCAACUAUAUGAUUCACGUUCGACCUUUCGGUCUCCAGUGUUCCGAGGCCAUGUCUGUACAUGCUAGGCUCGUCAAGUUUAACCUGAGUAUUCCGCAUGUGCAAAACUGUCUUGCACCCGUUGUAUGUGAACGUAGAGCCUAUCACACCCGAUCAUCACGUGGUGUCUCAGCAUGACGAACUUUCGCAAUGGUGCAUACUCAGGGAGAACACUUAUACCUUGAAAUUUUAGUGAGGGAUCAUCUUAUAAUGCUACCGCCGUACUAAGCAAAAUAAGAUGCAUAAAAGAUAAACAUCACAUGCAAUCAAAAUAUGUGACAUGAUAUGGCCAUCAUCAUCUUGUGCCUUUGAUAUCCAUCUCCAAAGGAUUGUCAUGAUCUCCAUCGUCAUCGGCUUGAAACCUUGAUCUCCAUCGUAGCAUCGUGGUUGUCUCGCCAACUAUUGCUUCUACAACUAUCGCUAACGCAUAGUGAUAAAGUAAAGCAAUUACAUGGCGUUUGCAUUUCAUACAAUAAAGCGACAACAAUAAGGCUCCUGCCAGUUGCCGAUAACUUUUAAAAAACAUGAUCAUCUCAUACAAUAACGUAUAUCACAUCAUGUCUUGACCAUAUCACAUCACAACAUGCCCUGCAAAAACAAGUUAGACGUCCUCUACUUUGUUGUUGCGAGUUUUACGUGGCUGCUACGGGCUUCUAGUAAGAACUGUUCUUACCUACGCAUCAAAACCACAACAGUGAUUUAUCAAGUUUGCUGUUUUAACCUUCAACAAGGACCGGCCGCAGUCAAAUUCGAUUCAACUAAAGUUGGAGAAACAGACACCCGCCAGCCACCUUCAUGCAAAACUAGUUGCAUGUCUGUCGGUGGAACCGGUCUCAUGAACGUGGUCAUGUAAGGUUGGUCCGGGCUGCUUCAUCCAACAAUACCGCCGAAUCAAAAUAAGAGAUUGGUGGUAAGCAGUAUGAUGAUCACCGCCCACAACUCUUUGUGUUCUACUCGUGCAUAUCAUCUACGCAUAGACCUGGCUCGGAUGACACUAUUGGGAAACGUAGCAUGCAAUUUCAAAACAAAUCCGACGCUCACGCAAUAUCUAUCUAGGAGAUGCAUAACAACGAGAGGGGAGAGUGUGUCCAUGUACCCUCGUAGACCGAAAACGGAAGCGUUUGACAACGAGGUUGAUGUAGUUGAACUUCUUCUCGUUCCGACCGAUCAAGCACCGAACGUACGGCACCUCCGAGUUCUGCACACGUUCAGCUUGAUGACGUCCCUCGAACUCUUGAUCCAGCAAAGUGUCGAGGGAGAGUUCCGUCAGCACGAUGGCGUGGUGACGGUGAUGGUGAAGUGAUCCGCGCAGGGCUUCGCCUAAGCACUACGUGAAUAUGACCGGAGGCGUAAACUGUGGAGGGGGGCGCCGCACACGGCUAGGAAUCAAUGUUGUGUGUUCUAGCGGUGCCCCCCACAUAUAUAUAGGUGGGAGAGGGAGGGAAGCAGCAAGGGGCGCCCCAAGUAGGAGGGAUCCUACUUGGGCGCCCCCUCCAAGUCGGCCUCCCCCUUCCAUAUGCAUCGGAGGGGGAAGGAAAGAGAGGGGGGAGGGGAAGGAAAGCGGGAGGCCGAAUCCUCCCCUUUCCUUCUCCCUUCCCUCCUUUCCUUCUCCUCCAAUUUCGGCCUAUAGGGGGCGCACCAGCCCCUUAGGGGCUGGUAUGUCCCUCUCUUGGCCCAUUAGGCCCAUUUAGUUUGCCGGGGGUUGCCCGGAACCCCUUCCGGUGACCCGAUACGUACCCAGUACCCCCGGAACACUUCCUGUGUCCGAAUACUAUCGUCCUAUAUAUGAAUCUCUACCUCUCGACCAUUUCGAAACUCCUCGUCAUGUCCGUCAUCCAAGACUCCGAACAACAUUCGGUGACCAAAUCACAUAACUCAUAUAAUACAAAAUCGUCAUCGAACGUUAAGCGUGCGGACCCUAGGGGUUCAAGAACUAUGUAGACAGACCGAGACACCUCUCCGGUCAAUAACCAACAGCGGAACCUGGAUGCUCAUAUUGGUUCCCACAUAUUCUAUGAAGAUCUUUAUCAGUCGUACCGUAGUGACAACAACAUUAUUCCCUUUGUCAUCGGUAUGUUACUUGCUACCUCUUGAGCACUGCGUUGGUUUUCCCUUGAAGAGGAAAGGGUGAUGCAGUAAAGUAGCGUAAGUAUUUCCCUCAGUUUUUGAGAACCAAGGUAUCAAUCCAGUAGGAGGCCACGCUCGAGUCCCACGCACCUACACAAACAAAUAAGAACCUCGCAACCAACGCGAUAAAGGGGUUGUCAAUCCCUUCACGGUCACUUACGAGAGUGAGAUCUGAUAGAUAUGAUAAGAUAAUAUUUUUUGUAUUUUUAUGAUAAAUAGAAAUAAAGAUGCAAAGUAAAAAUAAACGGCAAUAAAAAUAGCUAAGUGUUGGAACAUUAAUAUAAUGGAGAAUAGACCUGGGGGCCAUAGGUUUCACUAGUGGCUUCUCUCAAGAGCAUAAGUAUUACGGUGGGUGAACAAAUUACUGUCGAGCAAUUGAUAGAAUUGAGAAUAGUUAUGAGAAUAUCUAGGUAUGAUCAUCUAUAUAGGCAUCACGUCCGUGACAAGUAGACCGAAACGAUUCUGCAUCUACUACUAUUACUCCACACAUCGACCGCUAUCCAGCAUGCAUCUAGAGUAUUAAGUUCAAAAGAACAGAGUAAUGCUUUAAGCAAGAUGACAUGAUGUAGAGGGAUAAACUCAUGCAAUAUGAUAUAAACCCCAUCUUUUUAUCCUCGAUGGCAACAAUACAAUACGUGCCUUGCUGCCCCUGCUGUCACUGGGAAAGGACACCGCAAGAUUGAACCCAAAGCUAAGCACUUCUCCCAUUGCAAGAAAGAUCAAUCUAGUAGGCCAAACCAAACUGAUAAUUAGAAGAGACUUGCAAAGAUAACCAAUCAUACAUAAAAGAAUUCGAGGAGAUUCAAAUAUUGUUCAUAGAUAAACUUGAUCAUAAACCCACAAUUCAUCGGUCUCGACAAACACACCGCAAAAUAAGAAUUACAUCAAAUAGAUCUCCAAGGGAAUCGAGGAGAACAUUGUAUUGAGAUCCAAAGAGAGAGAAGAAGCCAUCUAGCUAACAACUAUGGACCCGAAGGUCUGAGGUAAACUACUCACACAUCAUUGGAGAGGCUAUGGUGUUGAUGUAGAAGCCCUCCGUGAUCAAUGCCCCCUCCGGCAGGACGCCGGAAAAGGCCCCAAGAUGGGAUCUCACGGGUACAGAAGGUUGCGGCGGUGGAAUUAGGGUUUUGGCUCCGUAUAUGAUGUUUCCAGGGUGUGUGGGUAUAUAUAGGAGGAAGAAGUACAUCGGUGGAGCAAUGUGGGCCCCACGAGGGUGGAGGGCGCGCCUGGGGGAGGUGGGCGUGCCCCCCUACCUCGUGCUCUCCUCGUUGAUUGCUUUACAUAGACUCCAAGUCCUCUGGAUCACGUUUUUCCCAAAAAUCACGUUCCCGAAGGUUUCAUUCCGUUUGGACUCCGUUUGAUAUCCUUUUCCUUCGAAACACUGAAAUAGGCAAAAAAACAACAAUUUGGACUGGGCCUCCGGUUAAUAGGUUAGUCCCAAAAAUAAUAUAAAAGUGUAUAAUAAAGCCCAUUAAUCAUCCAAAACAGAAUAUAAUAUAACAUGGAACAAUAAAAAAUUAUAGAUACGUUGGAGACGUAUCAUUACUUGCCCGAGAUUCGAUCGUCGGUAUCUUCAUACCUAGUUCAAUCUCGUUACCGGCAAGUCUCUUUACUCGUUCCGUAAUGCAUCAUCCCAUAACUAACUCAUUAGUCAUAGUUCUUGCAAGGCUUAUCAUGAUGUGCAUUACCGAGAGGGCCCAGAGAUACCUCUCCGAUACUCGGAGUGACAAAUCCUAAUCUCGAUCUAUGCCAACCCAACAAAUACCUUCAGAGGUACCUGUAGAGCAUCUUUAUAAUCACCCAUUUACAUUGUGACGUUUGAUAGCACACAAGGUAUUCCUCCGGUAUCCGGGAGUUGCAUAAUCUCAUAGUCGAAGGAAUAUGUAUUUGACAUGAAGAAAGCAAUAACAAUAAAACUAAACGAUCAACAUGCUAAGCUAAUGGAUGGGUCUUGUCCAUCACAUCAUUCUCCUAAUGAUUUGAUCCCAUUCAUCAAAUGACAACACAUGUCUAUGGUUAGGAAACUUAACCAUCUUUGAUUAACGAGCUAGUCUAGUAGAGGCUUACUAGGGACACGGUGUUUUGUCUAUCUAUUCACAGAUGUAUCAAGUUUCCGGUUAAUACAAUUCUAGCAUGAAUAAUAAACAUUUAUCAUGAUAUAAGGAAAUAUAAAUAACAACUUUAUUAUUGCCUCUAGGGCAUAUUUCCUUCACUGCCGCCAAAUGCCAUGGUCAAGAAAAUGACCGCUGAGGAAAGCGAACAUUGUCGAGCAAUGUUGUUGCUCGACUGCUUCUAGUAUGCUCACCUGCUGCCCCUACGGGGUGAUGGAUCUUGCGGGAGUUCGGGCUCCCAUCCACUCACGCCAUGGGCGACCCUGUCCGCACAACCUCUUCGCUACAUGUCGCUUGGGACAUUGUCCUCCACCACAAUGGCGUCUUCCUUCUUCAAGCAGGAGCCAGACUCCGACCAUGACAACGUCGAUUUGUCUCCGCCGUCAGAGUCAGAGUUUGAGCAGUAGCUCCGAAGGCUUUCCAGAACCAACUCAUCAAAAUGGCCCCUAACGGUGACCUGGACUAAGGGGUACUAACCUAUACGACCCACAUUCCAUGGGCCGACCUCACGGCCUACCAAUCAUUAGAAGUAAGGGCUCUGGAAGCUCUGAACCUCAGCGUGAUCAAGAUGGACACCUCCGAAGACUUGACACUCCUAGGAUAGCUCAAUAACCGUCCUAAUGGCAACCGACCAUAUGUGUAACCUAGGUAUCCCCGGUGCAUAUAUGAUCCAUGGGGUUUAGUCUUUAGAGACGCGAUUACCAGCCUUAGGGUUUAGAACAUGAUACGACUCCAAGUAUCUAUUAUUUUUGAUUGUUCCAUGCUAUUAUAUUAUCUGUUUUGGAUGUUUUAUAUGCAUUAAUAUGCUAUUUUAUAUUAUUCUUGGGACUAACCUAUUAACCUAGAGCCCAGUGCCAGUUCCUGUUUUUCCCUGUUUUUGAGUUUCGCAGAAAAGGAAUACCAAACGGAAUAAAACCUUCGCAAUGAUUUUUCUUGGACCAGAAGACAACCAGGAGACUUGGAGAUGAAGUCGGAGGAGCCACGAGGCGGCCACACGGACGGAGGGCGCGCCCCCACCCUUGUGGGCCCCUCGUGCACCUCCUGACCUAAUUCUUGCGCCUAUAUAUUCCCAUAUAUCCCCAAACCAACAGAGGCAUCCACGAAAACACUUUUCCACCGCCGCAACCUUCUGUACCCAUGAGAUCCCAUCUAGGGGCCUUUUCCGGCAUCCUGCCGGAGGGGGAUUCGAUCACGGAGGGCUUCUACAUCAACUCUAUUGCCCUUCCGAUGAAGCGUGAGUAGUUUACCACAGACCUACGGGUCCAUAGCUAGUAGCUAGAUGGCUUCUUCUCUCUCUUUGAUUCUCAAUACCAUGUUCUCCUCGAUGUUCUUGGAGAUCUAUUCGAUGUAAUACUUUUUUGCGGUGUGUUUGCCGAGAUCCAAUGAAUUGUGGAUUUAUCAUCAGCUUAUCUAUGAAUAUUAUUUGAAUCUCCUCUAAAGUAUUUUAUGCAUUAUUUGAUAUCUUUGUAAUUCUCUUAGAACUAUCGGUUUGGUUUGGCCAACUAGAUUGGUUUUUCUUGCAAUAGGAGAAGUGCUUAGCUUUGGGUUCAAUCUUGCGGUGUCCUUUCCCAGUGACAGUAGGGGCAGCAAGGCACGUAUUGUAUUGUUGCCAUCGAGGAUAAAGAGAUGGGGUUUUCAUCAUAUUGCUUGAGUUAAUUCCUCUACAUCAUGUCAUCUUGCUUAAUGCGUUACUCCGUUCUUUAUGAACUUAAUACUCUAGAUGCAUGCUGGAUAGCUGUUGAUGACCCACAAGUAUAGGGGAUCAAUUGUAGCUCUUUUUGAUAAGUAAGAGUGUCUAACCCAAUGAGGAGCAGAAGGAAAUGACAAGUAGUUUUCAGUAAGGUAAUGUCUGCAAGUGCUGAAAUUGUAAGUAGCGGAGUAGUUUGAUAGUGAUACGUCUCCAACGUAUCUAUAAUUUUUUAUUGUUCCAUGCUAUUAUAUAUUCUAUUUUGGAUGUUUAGUGGGCUUUAUUAUACACUUUUAUAUUAUUUUUGGGACUAACCUAUUAACCGGAGGCCCAGCCCGAAUUGCUGUUUUUUUGCCUAUUUGAGUGUUUCGAAGGAAAGGAAUAUCAAACGGAGUCCAAACGGAAUAAAACCUUCGGGAACGUGAUUUUCGGAACAAACGUGAUCUAGAGGACUUGGAGUGGACGUCAAGAAACGAACGAGGAGGCCACGAGGCAGGGGGGCGUGCCUACCCCCCUGGGCGCGCCCUCCACCCUCGUGGGCCCCUCGUAGCUCUCCUGACCGACCUCCUUCGCCUAUAUAUACUCAUAUACCCUGGAAACAUCAGAUACAGAGCCAAAACCCUAUUUCCACCGCCGCAACCUUCUGUACCCGUGAGAUCCCAUCUUGGGGCCUUUCACGGAGAGCUUCUACAUCAACACCAUAGCCUCUCCGAUGAUGUGUGAGUAGUUUACCUCAGACCUUCGGGUCCAUAGUUAUUAGCUAGAUGGCUUCUUCUCUCUCUUUGGAUCUCAAUACAAAGUUCUCCUCGAUUCUCUUGGAGAUCUAUUUGAUGUAACUCUUCUUUUUGCGGUGUGUUUGUCGAGAUCCGAUGAAUUGUGGGUUUAUGAUCAAGAUUAUCUAUGAACAAUAUUUGAAUCUCCUCUGAAUUCUUUUAUGUAUGAUUGGUUAUCUUUGCAAGUCUCUUCGAAUUAUCAGUUUGGUUUGGCCUACUAGAUUGAUCUUUCUUGCAAUGGGAGAAGUGCUUAGCUUUGGGUUCAAUCUUGCGGUGCUCGAUACCAGUGACAGUAGGGGAAACGACACGUAUUGUAUUGUUGCCAUCGAGGAUAAAAAUAUGGGUUUUAUAUCAUAUUGCAUGAGUUUAUCCCUCUACAUCAUGUCAUCUUGCUUGAAGCGUUACUCUGUUCUAAUGAACUUAAUGCUCUAGAUGCAUGCUGGAUAGCGGUCGAUGUGUGGAGUAAUAGUAGUAGAUGCAGGCAGGAGUCGGUCUACUUGUCACGGACGUGAUGCCUAUAUACAUGAUCAUACCUAGAUAUUCUCAUAACUAUGCUCAAUUCUAUCAAUUGCUCGACAGUAAUUUGUUCACCCACCGUAAUACUUAUGCUAUCUUGAGAGAAGCCACUAGUGAAACCUAUGGCCCCCGUGUCUAUUUUCCAUCAUAUUAAUCUCCCGUCAACAAACUAUUUCUAUUACCAUUUACCUUGCAAUCUUUACUUUUACUCUUUACCAUAAAAAUACCAAAAAUAUUAUCUUAUCAUCUCUAUCAGAUCUCACUCUCGUAAGUGACCGUGAAGGGAUUGACAACCCCUUUAUCGCGUUGGUUGCGAGGUUCUUAUUUGUUUGUGUAGGUGCGUGGGACUCGAGCGUGGUCUCCUACUGGAUUGAUACCUUGGUUCUCAAAAACUGAGGGAAAUACUUACGCUACUUUACUGCAUCACCCUUUCCUCUUCAAGGGAAAACCAACGCAGUGCUCAAGAGGUAGCAGAUAGCAAGAUAAUUUGUAACGAGCAAGUAACGAUAGUAGUAACAAAAGUGCAGCAAGGUAGCCCAAUCCUUUUGAGGCAAAGGACAGGCCAAAACGGUCUCUUAUGAUAAGCAAAGCGUUCUUGAGGGUACACGGGAAUUUCAUCUAGUCACUUUCAUCAUGUUGGUUCGAUUUGUGUUCGCUACUUUGAUAAUUUGAUAUGUGGGUAGGUGCUAUUCUUACUUAAACAAACCUCCUACUUAUGAUUAACCCUCCCGCAGGCAUCCGCAACUACGAGAAAAGUAUUAAGAAUAAAUUCUAACCAUAGCAUUAAACUUUUGGAUCCAAUUGGUCCCUUACGGAAUAGCACAUAAACUGGGGUUUAAGCUUCUGUCACUCUCGCAACCCAUCAUCUAAUAGCUACUCCACAAUGCAUUCCCUUAGGCCCAAAUAUGGUGAAGUGUCAUGUAGUCAACGUUCACAUGACACCACUAAGGGGAUAACAACAUACAUACUAUCAAAAUAUCGAACACAUAUCAAAUUCACAUGAUUACUUGCAACAUGAUUUCUCCCGUGACCUCAAGAACAAAAGUAACUACUCACAAAUGAUAAUCAUGCUCAAGAUCAGAGGGUUAUUAAAUAGCAUAAUGGAUCUGAACAUAUAAUCUUCCACCAAAUAAACAAUAUAGUAAUCAACUACAAGAUGUAAUCAACACUACUAGUCGCCCACAAGCACCAAUCUACAGUUCCGGUAACAAGAUUGAACAGAAGAGAUGAACUAGGGUUUGAGAUGAGAUGGUGCUGUUGAAUAUGUUGAUGGAGAUUGCCCUCUCCAAGAUGGGAGAGUUGUUGGUGAUGAUGAUGACGAUGAUUUCCCCCUCCGGGAUGGAAGUUCCCCCGGCGGAAUCGCUCCGCCGGAGGGCAAAAGUGCUCCUGUCCAAGUUCCGCCUCGAGACGGCGACACUCCAUCCCGAAAGUCCUCUCCUUAUUUUUUGUAGGUCAAAAUUACUUAUAUACGAGAAGAUGGGCACCGGAGGUGGGCCUGGGUGAGCACAACCCACCAGGGCGCGCCUGGGCUCCCUGGCGUGCCCAAGUGGGUUGUGCCCACCUGGUGGGCCCCCUAUGGUAGUUAUUUGCUCCAAUAAUUCUUAAAUAAUCCAUAAAAAAUCUUCGUGAAGUUUUAGCUUGUUUGGAGUUGUGCAGAAUAGGUGGCCUGACGUAGCUUUUCCAUGUCCAGAUUUCCAGCUGCCGGAAUUCUCCCUCUUGGUGUGUACCUUGCAAAUUAUGAGAGAAAAGGCAUUAGAAUUACUCCAAAAAGCAGUAUUAUGGAUAAAAACAUUAUAAAUAACAGUAAGAAAACAUGAUGCAAAAUGGACGUAUCAACUCCCCCAAGCUUAGACCUCGCUUGUCUCAAGCGAAAACCAAAAUCGAAAAACAUGUCCUCAUGCUUUGAGAGAGAGGUGUCGAUAAAAACAAAAUACGGACAUAGAAGCAUUAUGUUGAUUAUUAUAACAACAACAAAUUGAAACAUAAGACUUUUAUCAUAUACUUCUCAUGAAUAAGUAACAGUUCAUCACACAAUCGAAGUAUAAAGCAAAAACUCUAUUAGAAACCAACAAACUAUGUUCUCAGUCAACUUUGCAACUACAAUUCAUCAUCUUUUCAGGAAGGGUCACGUGUCGGAGCCUUUAAGCAAGUCCACAUACUCAACCAUCAUAUAGUCUUCUAUGAUUGCUAACACUCACCGCGUACACAUGAGCAAAACGUUUCAACCAGACACAUAGAAAGAUAGGGGCUUAUAGUUUCGCCUCCCAACAUAUUCACCUCAAGGGUGAUGUCAACAGUAAUAACUCAUGCUAUCUAUAUUCAACUGGACAUAUGUGCUGUAAGUGCAUCUAGUGCCCCUUAGUGAUUUUGGUGUAUUGAAGACUUAUAGGUUAAGGGACUAAUGUGUUUAUGAGUGUACACAUGUCUAUAAGUCUAUGAGGAGUUUGAUAUUUACAAAGAAAGUCGACCCCUAAAAAUGAAGUUCUUCGACUGGAGACUUUGGAUUUCUGAAGACUUUGAAAGUGAAGAAAUUGGUGUGACCUUGAAGACUUGGUAUUCAUUCGAGGAACAUGAAGCGUGAAGACUUUGGUUUUCGUAGUUUCAUUCUCUCUUUCUUGAGUCAUAGGAAACACCGUACUGUUAAAGGGGGUCGAGGAAAUACUAAGGAAAAAUUUCCAUGUGAUGCUCAACUCAAAAUCCUACACCUACCAAUCCCUUCGAGUGAAGCCACUGGAAAUCUCAUACAGUUCAGUCAUAUUCUUCAGUGACAGAGACGAAGUUCUUCUGGUCUCUGAGGAAUUUGUUCUGACCGAGCAGUGAGGAAUUCGCUAGUGCGGAUUGCCUACACAGUGAGGAACAUGAUAGCCCUGAGGAAUUCGAGCCUCAAAUAUCCGACCGUUGCUGUGCUAUGCGCCAGCUGUCCCAACAUAUCUACCCACCUAACGGUCAUAUUAGUGAAGGGCAUUUAUGUCUUAUCAUGUCGGGCUGCUCCCUAGGCUAUAAAUAGCCGACCCCUACAACCACUAUCUGGUUGGCUGCUCCGAGAGAAACUGACACUUGUCAUUUGAGAGCAUCCCAUCCUCCGAGGACUUUGAGCGAAAAUCAUCAAGUGAGGAAAACCCAAACACCUACAAACCCAAAGUGAUUGAGCAUCACUGAAGAGAUUGAUCCUGCAUGGAUCCGACGCUUGUUACAUUUGAAGACUGUGCUUCUUCCAGACGGUUAGGCGUCAUGGUCUAGAGCAUCCAAGAGGAAUUGUGGAUUGCCGAGUGACCGAGUUUGUGAAGGUUUGGAAGUCACAUGAAGACUUACCACGAGUGAUUGGGCGAGGUCUGUGUGACCUUAGCUCAAGGAGAAUACGGUGAGGACUGUGUGUCCGGGAUUGUGUGUCCUCAGGUUUAAAUACCUAGCCGCUCCAACCAGACGUACAAUUGAGACAGCAGUUGGAACUGGUCUACCAAAUCAUUGUCUUCACCAAGCUUACUGGUUCUAUUUCCUCAAAUCUUUCAUUUCCUCAUAACUGUGUUGUGCACUUGUGCAUAUCUGUGUUUGAAGACUUUGACUGAUGACUUUCUAAAUUUCCUCAGUUCAAUUUCUUCAGUCUGUUUGUCUUCAUCCUGUGCUAUCCUGUGUUUUACGCUUUCUGUACUUUGUGCUCAUCUUCAUUUCAUCAUGAUGACCAUGCUUGUAUUCUGCUAUGUUUACUUUUGAGUACUUAUUCCGCUGCAAGUAGUUCUUCGCUAAGGAAUUUCCUCACCCGCAAAUUCCUCAGUGAAGAAUUCAUAAAAAUCGCCUAUUCACCCCCCUCUAGUCGAUAUAACGCACUUUCAAUUGGUAUCAGAGCAAGGUACUCCCUUGUUCUGUGUGAUUUUGGCUUAACCGCCUGGAGUUUUAGUUAUGUCGACCACAGGAAUGAAGACUGUGUCAUGCCCCAUCUUUGACGGUCACGAGUAUCCCAAGUGGAAGGCCAUGAUGAAGAAGCGCCUCAUGGCGAUGAAAAGUGAGCUGUGGACCGUCACUGAGAUUGGUCUGACCGAUCUGUGCAAGAUGGCGGAAGCUGAUGACAUUCGCAAGUACACUCUUCUCAACCUCACGACAAAGGACGUCAUCUGCUCCUGUCUGUCUCAAAAUCAGUUCAGGAACAUCAUGCAUCUCGAUCAUGCGAAGCUUAUCUGGGACCGUCUCUCCGAGGUCUAUGAAGGUCAUCGAACCCGUCAUGAUCCUUGGUUUGAGGACUUCAAGGAAUCUCUCAAAGCGAUGACAUUCGAACCAGAAUCAUCAUCUUCUACACCAUGCCUUAUGGCAAAAGAUGCAAAAGGUAACUGAAUGCUAUCUAUCUGAAUCCAGUGAUGAUGAAUCUGGUGAUGAGUUUGGACCCAGCUAUGUCAAACUUGCUGCCCUUGCCAGUAAACAACAAAGAGCUUUGGAAAAAUUUCAAUACAUGCUAAAUAAGAGUGAUGAUAUGUUGGGUGAAGAAAUGGAUCAGUCGAAAGCUUUGGCCGAGAGUCUUCAGAGACUUCAGUCUAAGUUUGACACCCUUCAAGGUCAUCAUAACACUCUCUUAUCUGACCAUGCCAAGCUUUCUUAUGAGUUUCUUCAAAGAAAACAAGAUCUUGAAAAGCUAAGAGUGAGUUAUGAAGAUCUUCAGAAAGAGCGCGAUUCAUUACUUGCUCAACAAAUCAGCGCUAAUCAGGAAGAAUUUGUUCCUCCAUGUUUGAAGUGCAUUGAACGUGAAUCUGCUAAUUCUUCACCUGAAUGUUCAAGUGCUUCUAAUGCUACAAACUCUUCACCUGUCUCUGCUAUCACUAAUUCCUCAUCUGAGGACCUUGCUAGUAUCACUGAUGAUGCAGGGCUGAAGGAAUUGUACAUGACAAGCAUGUACAAAAGCCUCAAAGGGCAUCAGACUCUUUGUGAUGUGCUUAAAAAGCAGAUCCUCAACAAGAACCCUAGGAAAGAGGGUAUUGCCUUUGAGAGGAAACUCAAUGCUGAUGGAACUUAUUGGAAGCCUGAGCAGUACCCCAAAACCUCAUGGGUUGCUGCAAAGGGACCUCCAGUUGAUCCAUCUAAUUUAUCUGGCUUUACAUGUGAUUCUCCUCAUUCUGCUGAUGAGUCAUUUGACUCCAACUAUAAACUGUUCAAAAAUCAGAAUGGUGAAGUAUUUGCUAGAUAUGUUGGCACUAACUGCAGGAACGGUUCCCCUAUGAAGAAAAUCUGGAUUCCCAAACAGUGCCUUGAAAGUCUUCAGGCGAAUGUCCUCAUGACACCACCUGUGAAGAAUAGGAACCCGAGAUCAAAUUCUUCAUAUGGAUCAAAUUCCUCAAAAGGAUCCAAGUCCUCAUAUGAACAUCAUCGUGCUAACCCCUCUGUUUCGCAGGGAAGAGCUAAGGGCUAUGAAUAUGUGCAUUAUUCAAACCAUUAUGUUCAUAAGUCCUCGAAGAAUUUCUCUGCUUAUUCAUAUGCUUAUCCUAACUCCUCUUAUGUGAAACAAAAUGGACUGGCUUCUAUGCCACAUUUCUCGUAUGGAGCUCGCAGAGUGAUGAACUCUUUGCCACCCCGUCAGAUGUGGGUGGUGAAGAAAAAGAUCUAAUCUCUUCUACAGGGUCAGGUCUCCAGACGUGUGUAAACGUCUAAAGAAUUUGCUGGAGACCUGAAAUUGCCUGAAAGGACGCAGGCUAAUCAUGAAGAAAUGAACCCUCAUUUCUCACUUCCUCACACCGCUUUAUCUGUUCUAUUGCUUGAUGAAAUUGAUCUGAUGAAUUGAUGUUAUAUUAUUCACUGAUGAAGUAUAUGAGUUCGUAAGCUGCACUAAUUCAUCUGCAGGAUGAUCAACCCAAAGCCCAUGAGUGGGUCCUCGAUAGUGGAUGUACAAAUCACAUGACUGGUGACAAGAAUCUAUUGAUGGAUGCUCCCUUAUCUCCAUUGCAUCUGAAGCAUAUCAUCUUCGCUGACAAAGGCAAAAGUCAGGUAUUGGGUCUAGGUAAGGUUGCUAUCUCAAAGGAUCGACACAUGGACAAAGUCAUGCUUGUCGAGUCCUUAGGAUACAACCUCAUGUCUGUCUCAAUGCUUUGCGAUCUUGAUAUGGUUGUUGUCUUUGGCAAGUAUCGUUGUGUUGUGAUCAUGGAAGCUGACAAUUCCAAAGUCUUCGAAGGCUUUAGGAGAGGAGACUUGUAUAUUGUUGAUUUCUCUACAGGACCACAACCAGCCGUGUGCCUACUUGCAAAAGCUUCAGAAGGCUGGCUAUGGCAUCGACGACUUGGUCAUGCAGGCAUGAGGAAUUUGCACACGCUUGCGAAGAAGAAGCAUGUCAUUGGCAUUGAGAAUGUCAAAUUCCUAAAGGAUCACUUAUGCGGAGCCUGUGAAGCUGGAAAGAUGACCAAGGCCAAACAUCCAGCGAAGACAAUCAUGACUACCACUCGACCAUUGGAAUUGCUUCAUAUGGAUCUCUUCGGUCCUAACCAUUAUUCUGCAGUUACAAAUGAUGCAUCUCUAUAUGGCUUUGUUAUUGUUGAUGAUUACUCUCGUUACACAUGGGUACAUAUUGUCACUUACAAACACGAAGUGCAGGAAGUCUUCAAACGAUUUUCCUCGAGGGCUUCAACCAACUUUGGUGUGAAGAUCAAGCACAUCAGAAGUGACAAUGGAACUGAGUUCAAGAAUUCUGGUCUUGAUGACUAUCUUUAUGAACUUGGUAUUACUCAUGAGUUAUCUGCUCCUUAUACUCCUCAACAGAAUGGCGUUGUGGAGCGCAAGAACAGGACUCUCGUUGAGAUGGCUCGCACUAUGCUUGAUGAAUACAAGACGCCUCGUCACUUCUGGAUUGAGGCAAUUUAUACUGCGUGCCACAUCAUCAACAGAGUAUAUCUUCAAAAAUUCUUCAAGAAGACUGCAUAUGAACUCCUCACUGACAAGAAACCCAAUGUGAGUUAUUUUAAAGUCUUCGGUGCUAAAUGUUGGAUUAGAGAUCCUCAUCACAACUCAAAAUUUGCACCGAAAGCACAUGAAGGUUUUAUGCUUGGUUACGAAAAGGACUCACACACCUACAGAGUCUUCAACAACAUUCUUCACAAGGUUGUUGAAACUGUAGAUGUGCGGUUUGAUGAAACUAAUGGCUCGCAAAGAGAGCACCUACCUUCUGUGAUAGAUGAACCAGCACCUGAGGAAACUAUCGAGUUCAAGGCUACUGAGGAUGUCAUUCCUACCGAAGAAUAUGCUGAAGAAUUCAUUCCAGAACGAGAAGAACGUCGAGCUAAUGCACCUGAAAAUGCUGAAGAAAAUGGUGCUGAAGAAAAUGCUGAUCAAAUUCCUCGACGACAACCCGCUCAUCCUCGCGUGGCAAAAGAAGUGCAGAUUGAGAAAAUCAUCGAUGACAUUGAAGCACCAGGUCCUCUCACAUGCUCAAGAGCUUCACAUUUAUCUAACUUUUGUGGGCACUUUGCUUUUGUCUCUAUCACAGAGCCCGCUAAGGUAGAUGAAGCAUUUCUGGAGCCUGAGUGGAUUCAAGCUAUGCAAGAAGAAUUACAUCAGUUCGAGCUCAACCACGUUUGGGAACUGGUCAAACGUCUAGAUCCUCACAAGCACAAUAUCAUUGGCACAAAGUGGAUCUACCACAACAAGCAAGAUGAAAAUGGCCUUGUGGUGAGGAAUAAGGCACGGCUUGUAGCUCAAGGCUACACACAGGUUGAAGGAAUUGACUUCGAUGAAACUUUUGCACCUGUUGCUAGACUUGAGGCUAUUCGAAUAUUACUUGCUUAUGCUAACCAUCAUGAUAUCACUCUAUAUCAAAUGGAUGUGAAAAGUGCAUUCCUCAAUGGUAAGCUUGAGGAAGAAGUAUAUGUUGCUCAACCCCCAGGUUUUGAAGAUCCAAAGCAUCCUGACGAAGUCUUCGGACUUAAUAAGGCCCUCUAUGGCCUCAAGCAGGCCCCUCGGGAGUGGUAUGAUACUUUGAAGGAAUUCCUCAUGAAGAAAGGCUUCAAACCCGGUUCACUCGACCCUACUCUUUUCACUAAAUCUUAUGAUGGUGAACUGUUUGUGUGGCAAAUAUAUGUUGAUGAUAUUAUCUUUGGCUGUACUGACCAACGUUACAGUGAUGAAUUUGCCUAUAUGAUGAGUGAAGAAUAUCAAAUGUCUAUGAUGGGAGAAUUGAAAUUUUUUUAGGUCUUCAAAUUCGUCAACAGCGCAAUGGCAUAUUCAUAUCUCAGGAGAAAUACCUCAAGGAUGUAUUGAGGAAAUUCGGCAUGCAAGAUUGCAAAGGCGUCAAAAUCCCUAUGCCCACAAAUGGCCAUCUAUGCACUGAUGAAAAUGGUAUUGACUUCGAUCAAAAGGUAUAUCGCUCCAUGAUUGGUUCCUUAUUGUACCUAUGUGCAUCUAGGCCAGAUAUUAUGCUUAGUGUUUGCAUGUGUGCCCGAUUUCAAGCUACACCAAAGGAAUCACACCAUAAGGCUGUGAAGCAUAUUCUUCGAUAUCUAGCUCACACACCAACACUUGGAUUAUGGUACCCCAAGGGCUCGGCUUUUGAUCUCAUUGGAUAUUCUGACUCUGACUAUGCCGGUGAUCGUGUGGACCGCAAGUCAACAUCUGGCACAUGCCAUUUCCUCGGAAGAUCUUUGGUCUGUUGGUCCUCGAAGAAACAGAACUGUGUAUCACUGUCUACUGCUGAAGCUGAGUACAUUGCUGCUGGUUCUUGUUGUGCUCAAUUGCUAUGGAUGAAGCAAACUCUCAAGGACUACGGCGUCAACGUGAAGAAUGUGCCUCUCUUCUGUGACAAUGAGAGUGCCAUCAAGAUUGCUCACAACCCAGUUCAGCACUCAAAGACAAAGCACAUUCAGAUUCGUCAUCAUUUUCUUCGUGAUCAUGUGUUGAAGGGCGACAUUUCUAUUGAGCAUGUGAAGACUGAAGAACAGCUAGCUGAUAUCUUCACAAAGCCCUUGGAUGAAAAGAGAUUUAGCAAGUUGCGGUGUGAGCUAAAUAUCUUAGAAUCUUCGAAUGUUCUCUGAAAAGGACACUCAUCCUAACACUUAUGCAAAAUUGAUGACUUAGAUGUGCAACACAUGAAGACACGUUUUUCUUCAAUCAAUGAAGAAUAACACUCUAAGUGUGAAGAAAUUAACGAAGAAUUUGAUUCUCAGAGACCUACGACAAUUGUACGCGGUGUCUGAAAUCAUCAUUCUUAUACGGUGGGUCACGCCACCACCAAAAGUUGAAAAUCUUCAAUUUGAGUUUUUCCUCAGUUUUGGAAUUCCUCAAUUGUUCAAUUUCUUCAACUUUGUAUUGUCUUCACUGUUUCCGUCGUUUUUCUUCAUUGGCUAUAUAUAUAUAUAUAUAUAUAUAUAUAUAUAUAUAUAUAUAUAUAUAUAUAUAUAUAUGAGUUUAUGUCCUCUACAACAUUCACUUAUUGCUAAUUCUUCAUGUUGCUUUUCCUGCUAAGUGAAUGUGAUCGGGCCCUUCCCCCUCUAUGCUAAACUCAACCCAAUCUAUUCACAAAUUCUUCAUGUGCGUUCUAUUUGAAACUCGCUCAAAAUCUUCACUGUGUCCUUGUCAGCUGAAGAAUUUGCGAACGGAACUUUUAACUUAUCUUAUCUAAAUUUUUGGCUUUGCCGCUCAAACCGUUCCACAUCCCACGAUAAUACUUAUCUAUUCACCCACGAUCGCCACCUGUCAGUACGUGGGUGACACAUGUCAAGCGAAUGAGAAGGGUCAGGGGCACGUUCGUCCAAUUUCUUCGGGCGAAUAGUUUUUCACCGUGGCUAUAAAUACCCCUCCCCUUCCUCACUUCUCUUUUACUCCGCUCGACCUCACUCCAGCUUGAGCUUCUCAAACCCUACCACCGCCGCUACUUCAUCGUCGCCGGUGAAGAAGAGCUUCACUGCCUCGACCUCGUCGCCGUCGUACUCGCGCUGGCUGCGGAUUUCUUCACUCCGCCGCCGCCGUAGUUGUCUUCCUCAACCGAGUUAGGGCGUGGAAGAUCUGAACUGACGAACUUCACAUCUACACUUCCCAGUUCGUCGUGUUGUUCAUCCACGGUAAUUAAAAGUUACUUUUACUGCCCUCUUUGAUUCGAAUGAUUUCUACAAAAUCUUCAAAGGUGUUUUUCUUCAAAUCUUCACUCACUAAACACCUCACAUGUCAUCUGUUCUUGAUCCGUUUCUCUAAGCAAUAUUUUUCUUCAAGAUUCCUCAAUUGUGUGGAUUUCUGAUCUAUACAACUCUGGAACCUAAGACAAAGAACGCUUAGUGAAAUUCUUCAAGACUCAGCUGGUCAAAUUCCUCAAACUUGUUCUUUUUGAAAAACCUUCUGAGAACGCAUAUGACCUCUCCAAGUUACUCGCAACUAUACUCUAUUCACAGGUACACAUGUCCGCUGCUGAAUCACUAGGUUCUCAUCAACUUAACUCAUUUGCAGCGUUCCUCGAAGAAAAGUUGCAUACAUCUUCAGAGAAUUCAAUUGUCCAAAUUCCUCAGCUGAAGAAAAUGGCUGAUGGAAAGAAGCCGCAGAAAGGAGGAAAGAGGCCUGAGGUAAAUAUUGCCUUUGAGAUCCCUGAUGACAUAUACAAGGACUAUUGCACUCCUAAUGAGGCCAAGUUUGGCAAGGAGGACAAAAAUCAGUGCAAGGUGCACAUCCAAAGGAUAGAGAGGAGAUGGGCAUGGGAAUGGAGGGAGUACAGGUAUGUUACUCCCAAGUAUAUGAAGAAAUUCGCUCUAAAUCCUCCAUGCCCAAGACCUCCAUUGGCACCUGGCCAGAUAGCAGAUCCCACCAGCCUCAAGCGCGGUGAGGACUAUCCUGACGAAUGGGCCAAGCGCCAGGCCAAAUUGGCCAGACAAGCAAGAGAAGCAGUGAGGAAAUUCAACGAAGACUCUGCUACUGCUGCUGCCACUGCUGAGGCCUCUGCAAGCAAGCCGAAGAAGGCCAUGACAAAGAAGCCUGCUCAUAAGCCAAGUGCUUCAUCCUCAAUGUUCUCACGGCCAAGUUCCUCAGCAAUGCCCUCACGGCCAGAAUCUUCAAAGCCCUCACAGCCAACUCCUCAUGCUGCUCCCGCUCCUCCAAAGUCCUCAGCUCCUCCGCCAAAGUCCUCAGCUUCUCUGACCAAAUCCUCUGCACCUGUGCAUCUUGCCAUGUGCCAAAGGACAACAAACAUCUCUAUUGCCUCAUGAGCUUCUGCUAGUUCCUCAACUGCACCAAAUUCUUCAACGGGACCCUCUCCGCUGAAGACAAAGGCCACUGCUGGACGUGGCUCUCGCCCAAGUCCUCACAAGAAGCAGGUCGCCUUCCAAGUGCCGUCUGAUGAAGACGAAGCUGAUGAUGAGGAACUUGCCGAAAUCAUUAGAGACAGGCAGCUCAGGGCCGCUAGAGCCAAGGGCACAAAUGUGCCACUGCUUUUGGAUCCUAAAUUGAUCCUUGAUUACAUCGAUCUCUGGCACAAGGACCCCAACACUCCUAUGCCUGAUUUCAAGCCGACUCCUGGCCAAAAUCAUAUGCUGACUGCCUUCAUCCAAGAAGAAAAAUGGAAAUUUGAGAAGGCCAGGCAAAUCAAGAAAGCGCAGUACAAAAAGGAGCGCUUCCUGAAGAAAAAUGUUGUCUCAAUGACAACUGAAGAACUUGUCAACAUUCAAUCUGAGACCAAGAACCUCAGUGAUGAAUUUGACAUAUACAGAGCUGACUGGCUUGGAGCCAAAGUUAGGUUUGUGAAAUUGACUGAAAAGUUCACUUUCAAUGUUGCAGCCCCAACACAACAAGAAAAUCCUCAAGCUAAAGCAUCUGCUCAGCCGACUGAAGAAAAUGCCAGCAUCGCUGAUGACAUUCAGGCUGCUGAAGAAACUCAAAGUACCAGGGCUGAUGACUGCAUUCCAACCGCUGAUGAAAUUGCCAGGGCAUCCACUAGUGGUGCGCCUGAAGAAAAUGAAGAAAUCGGGGCAACUACAUCAGUUGUGCCUGAAGAAAUUCAACCAAUUUCCUCUGCUCCUCCUACGCCUACACCAACUCCAAUCUUUCCAUCUGCAUCAGAUGUGAAGAAGACCAAGGCUGCGGAGCGUGCAGCUGUGAAGAAAAGGAAGGCAUCAACUUCAUCAGAUUCUUCAGCUCCGAAGAAGAUGAAGCCAUUAACCAGCUCUUAUGCAAAUCCAAUUGAUGUUGUUCCCGUCUCAUCCAUUCCAUCAAAGGACCUUGUUCCUUUUGAUGAAGAAUAUGUGAUUCCAAGUGAAUCUGAUGAUGACAUUCCUUCUGCUGCUUCGUCAGAGCAGUUGGAUGAAGAAAUUGAAGUGGAUGCAAUCCCUUCAACACCAAUUGUCUCCUCGCCUAUGCCUCAGUUCACUGCUGAAGAGGCCGGCGUUGAAGAAAUGGAAGAAGAAGAUGUGGACAUUGGGUGUACAACACCAAUACUGAAUGAUGACUUUUGGGAAAGUCAGCACCCCAACUCUCCACUGUUCAAACCGUUGCAACAAAUUCCUCAGUCCCCAGUAACUACAAUUCAAAUGGGAUCUGAUGAACCACAUGCCACACCGUCUGUCCAUGAAGAGAUUCCAGCCACUAGUGCUGAAGAAAAUGUAAAUGAAGAAUUGAAGACCCAGGCUGCCACUAAAGAAGCUGAAAUUCCUCAGCCUGUGGAUCCUGAGAUUGCGAUUCCUGAGGUGGUGAUGCAACUGACUGAUACUCCUCAGCCCAAGCCAAAGGAUCAAUUCUCGAAAAAACAAAAAUUCAAGGCUGAUGACUUCUUCGACGAGCACGUGUUCUUCACUGAUUAUAAUCCCUAUGACUCUGCUCGUCUUAGAAGUAAGCGUUUCUGGACUGCUAGCCAGGCCAAUUUCUAUUCUUCACUGCUCUUCAACAAGGAUAAAGUCUUCGACCACGAGCAUAUUCCUCACGUUGACAUGGAAUCUAUGCCUUGUUUUACUCCAGUCCUCAGUGUGCUUCAUGACGCAGGCCUCCUCAACUUUUGCACGGAUAUUUGCGAUUGGAAUGAAGAACUCAUUCUUCAAUUCUAUGCAACCUUGCACAUCACACGCGAUGCGGAUGAUAUCAACUCUUGGGUGUUGGACUGGAUGACUGAAAACACUCACUAUAAGGCACCGGCCUCUGAAUUACUUCAUGCCCUGCCCAUCAGUCCACCCAUUGAAGGAGCUCGCUGCCUGUACUAGGAUCCAGAACUCACUGCUCACUAUAUGCAAGUGCUAAUGAAGCCUCUGAAGCCCGGUCAAGCCCCAAGGACCAAAUUCCUCGUGAAGGAAUUGCUCUAUGUGCCCAGAACUGUCUAUCGCAUUCUGACGAAGACUAUGAGUCCUAUCAAGGGCCACGACUCGUCUGAUGAAGAAGUCGUUGGUAUCAUGAAGAAUCUUCUAUUCAACAUCAUUCAUGGCAUUCCUGUCAACUAUCACGAUUUCUUCAUGAGGACUCUGGCAAAUGUUGCACUCUCUCCGUUUGAGUUGAAGCCUUACGCACCAUGGAUUAUGCGAUUCAUCAGAACAAGGUCUUCACUCAACUACAAGGCUGACACUCUCAACCAUUGCAGCUACUUACCCCCCAUUGAAGUCCUCAAAAGGACAUUUUCCUCAGCUGAUGAAAAGGGCAAGGCCGCUGCUGUUAUAGAUGAAGGCAUUCGUCCAUUGGAUGGUCAGUUUUGCAAAGCUGCAUCUUAUUCCACCAAUGAUGACUCUGCCACUCAUGAUUCUGCUGCUAAUGCUUCCAAGCCAAAUCCUCAAGCUACUGCUCCUCGAGUGAUGACUGACCGUGAGCUGCUUCUUAGUCUUCACCAGAAGGUGGAUGAAACCAUAAAUGGGUCAAGCGCCAGUUUGGUUCUAUUCUUCACAACAUGACUGCUACACAUAAUGCAAUGAAGAAAAACCAUUACUACCUCCAUGAAGUCUUCGGUCGCACAUGGGCUAUUCUGUCACACGUAUAUGGUGAAGAAGAUUUGAAGCAAAUGGGUCUCAAGGAGGACUUUGACUGGUCUGCACUUCCACCGAAGAAAUACAAGAAGGUCAAGGUUCCUUCCUUGGUGGCCAGCUCAUAUUCUUCAUCACGUGACACCGACGAGCAUGAAGACUUGGACGACACUGCGGCAGGCCCUACUACGACAAACGACCCCAACAACGCUGGCGCUCCUCCAUCAACUUGAUAUUCUUCAGGGGCGUUAGUCCUCAUUUUCGAUCCUUUUGGUCAUUCGAUGACAAAGGGGGAGAAAUUUGAGUUAGUCUUCAAGCGGGUCUACCUAUAUGGGCGUUUUUUUGCUAAGUUACAACUCUCGUUCUUCUGAUGACUUUGCUGGAUCGAGUUGUAAACUUAAACUCUAUGGUGGUCUGAUACUUUUGUUGUGUUUUCUGCAUGCUUAUUCCUCAUAUAUGGUAAUGCACGCAUGCUGAAUUACAUCAGUCACCAUAUUUCAUCAUGCAUUUCAAAUUCCUCAUAUUAUAUAUCAAAUGCGUGUAUGAAUUACAAGAUAUAGGGGGAGAUCUCCAUGAUUCUACUCUUCAAGUGUGCAUUGCUUCAAAAGCAAAUUCCUCACUAUGCACAUCUUCAGGGGGAGUUCUUCUAUAUCUUGUAAUGAAAUUCCUCAAUAUCAGUAUUUACACUUCAUAUGAUUAUCCCCGUUGAAAACUUAACCUAUAUUGUCAUCAAUCACCAAAAAGGGGAGAUUGUAAGUGCAUCUAGUGCCGCUUAGUGAUUUUGGUGUAUUGAAGACUUAUAGGUUAAGGGACUAAUGUGUUUAUGAGUGUACACAGGUCUACAAGUCUAUGAGGAGUUUGAUAUUUACAGAGAAAGUCGACCUCUAAAAAUGAAGUUCUUCGACUUAAGACUUUGGAUUUCUGAAGACUUUCUGAAGACUUUGAAAGUGAAGAAAUUGGUGUGACCUUGAAGACUUGGUAUUCAUUCAAGGAACAUGAAGCGUGAAGACUUUUGUUUUCGUAGUUUCAUUCUCUCUUUCUUGAGUCAUAGGAAACACCGUCCUGUUAAAGGGGGUCGAGGAAAUACUAAGGAAAAAUUUCCAUGUGAUGCUCAACUCAAAAUCCUACACCUACCAAUCCGUUUGAGUGAAGCCAUUGGAAAUCUCAUACAGUUCAGUCAUAUUCUUCAGUGACAGAGACGAAGUUCUUCUGGUCUCUGAGGAAUUUGUUCUGACUGAGGAGUUAGGAAUUCGCCAGUGCAGAUUGCCUACACACUGAGGAACAUGAUAGCCCUGAGGAAGUCGAGCCUCAAAUAUCCGACCGUUGUUGUGCUAUGCGCCAGCUGUCCCAACAUAUCUACCCACCUAACGGUCAUAUUAGUGAAGGGCAUUUAUGUCUUAUCAUGUCGGGCUGGUCCCUAGGCUAUAAAUAGCCGCCCCCUACAACCACUAGCUGGUUGGCUGCUCCGAGAGAAACUGACACUUGUCAUUUGAGAGCAUCCCAUCCUCCGAGGACUUUGAGCGAAAAUCAUCAAGUGAGGAAAACCCAAACCCAAACAUCUAUAAACCCAAAGUGAUUGAGCAUCACUGAAGAGAUUGAUCCUGCGUGGAUCCGACGCUUGUUACCUUUGAAGACUGUGCUUCUUCCAGACGGUUAGGCGUCAUGGUCUAGAACAUCCAAGAGGAAUUGUGGAUUGCCGAGUGACCGAGUUUGUGAAGGUUUGGAAGUCACCUGAAGACUUACCACGAGUGAUUGGGCGAGGUCUGUGUGACCUUAGCUCAAGGAGAAUACGGUGAGGACUGUGUGUCCUCAGGUUUAAAUACCUAGCCGCUCCAACCAGACGUACAACUGAGACAACAGUUGGAACUGGUCUACCAAAUCAUUGUCUUCACCAAGCUUACUGGUUCUAUUUUCUCAACUCUUUCAUUUCCUCACAACUGUGUUGUGCACUUGUUCAUAUCUGUGUUUGAAUACUUUGACUGAAGACUUUCUCAAUUUCAUCAGUUCAAUUUCUUCAGUCGGUUUGUCUUCAUCCUGUGCUAUCCUGUGUUUUACGCUUUCUGUACUUUGUGCUUGUCUUCAUUUCAUCAUGAUGACCAUGCUUUUAUUCUGCUAUGUUUACUUUUGAGUACUUAUUCCGCUGCAAGUAGUUCUUCGCUAAGGAAUUUCCUCACCCGCAAAUUCCUCAGUGAAGAAUUCAAAAAAAAUCGCCUAUUCACCCCCCUCUAGUCAAUAUAACGCACUUUCAUGUGCCUAGAUCUUUCCUCACCACAUGAUGCUUGCCAAAUGAGAAAAAUAAAAGGGAAUAGAAGAAAAAACUUUGACUCUUUUCAUAAAAGUAAAUACAUAAAAUAAAAGAUAGGCCUUUCAUAGAGGGGAGCAGAGGUUGCGAUGCGGUUAUUUGUUUGUAUGCUCAAUCCCUUAGUGCAAAAGGACGUCAUGUUGUAUUGCCCCUUAAGAUGACAACCUUUAUUAUGUAGUCUGUCGCUUUUAUUCUUUGUCAUCCAAGUUCGUACAACGCUCAAUUUUCUCUUACAAUAAAUGAUCUCACACUUUUAGAAGCAAUUUUUAUUGCCUUUUUGCACCGAUGACAACUUACUUGAGGGAUCUUGCUAAAUCCCUAGGUAGGUAUGGUGGGCACUUGAAAAUAAGAUUUGGAUUUAAGGGGUUUUGGAUGCACAAGUAGUAUCUCAACUUAGUGCGGAAUAUUUGGCUAGCAAAGAUAGGGGCAAGCACCACAUGUUGAAGGAUCUAUGACAAUAUGACUUUUGUGUGAAUAUAAACAAACAUAAACCAUUAAGUUGUCUUCCUUGUCCAACGUCAACAAUUUUGGCAUAUAAUAUUUUGAUGAGGUCUGACAAUCACAAAAGAUUUCUAGGAUAGUAUAUUUAUAUGUGAAUCUUCACUUCCCUUAUUAAUUCUUUCAUGAGUUGCAUCCUUGACUAAUGCUAUGUUUGUCAAUCUCUAAUAAAAUUUCCGACUUAUACUUUUCCUUAUGUGGUGCCAUCACCUACCAUAGGAUUAGUAUACGAUCUUAUUGAUUUAUUUCCUUUCUUUUAUUUAUUUCUUUUCUCUUUUUCUUUCUUUCUUAUUUCUUUUCUUUAAUUGCAACAUGAAAGUACAGAAAGAAAAA